RNAcentral lists this transfer RNA (68 nucleotides) under Euphaedusa planostriata. RNAcentral describes it as "tRNA-Tyr". The record is from RNAcentral. Lineage: Eukaryota; Metazoa; Mollusca; Gastropoda; Stylommatophora; Clausiliidae.
AAUUUUGGACUCAAACACAGAGAUUUUAAACUGUAAAUUUAAGAAAGCAAGCAUGAUUGCCCAGAUUU